UUCCAGACUCCUACGGGAGGCAGCAGUGGGGGAUAUUGCACAAUGGGGGAAACCCUGAUGCAGCGACGCCGUGUGAGUGAAGAAGUAUUUCGGUAUGUAAAGCUCUAUCAGCAGGGAAGAAGAAAUGACGGUACCUGACUAAGAAGCCCCGGCUAACUACGUGCCAGCAGCCGCGGUAAUACGUAGGGGGCAAGCGUUAUCCGGAUUUACUGGGUGUAAAGGGAGCGUAGACGGCAAGGCAAGUCUGGAGUGAAAGCCCGUGGCCCAACCACGGGACUGCUUUGGAAACUGUGUUGCUGGAGUGCAGGAGGGGUAAGCGGAAUUCCUAGUGUAGCGGUGAAAUGCGUAGAUAUUAGGAGGAACACCGGUGGCGAAGGCGGCUUACUGGACUGUAACUGACGUUGAGGCUCGAAGGCGUGGGGAGCAAACAGGAUUAGAUACCCCGGUAC
RNAcentral lists this ribosomal RNA (449 nucleotides) under uncultured bacterium. RNAcentral describes it as "bacterial SSU rRNA". It matches the Rfam family "Bacterial small subunit ribosomal RNA", at positions 329 to 793 of the family's 1533-position model. The record is from RNAcentral.